GAUGAACGCUGGCGGCGUGCUUAACACAUGCAAGUCGAACGGAAAGGCUCCUGCUGGCAGGGGUACUCGAUUGGCGAACGGGUGAGUAACACGUGGGUGAUCGGCCCUGCACUUCGGGAUAGGCCUGGGAAACUGGGUCUAAUACCGGAUAGGAUCACAUCUUGGAGGGUGUGGUGGAAAGCUUUGCGGCGUGGGAGGAGGUCGCGGCCUAUAAGCGAGUUGGUGGGGUCAUGGCCUACCAAGGCGUCGAGGGGUAGCCGGCAGGCGGGGUGGUACGGACAGACUAGACCUGUGCGAGAGGCAAGAGUCGGGAAGGAGGGAGAAGUGGGGAAUAUCGGACAAAGGCAGACAGCGUGAUGCAGGAAGGCCGCGUGGGGGAUGAGGGCCUUCGGGUUGUAAGAAAAUCUCGCUAGGGACGAAGCGUUUUUGUGACGGUACCUGAAGAAGAAGCACCGGCUAACUACGUG
RNAcentral lists this ribosomal RNA (467 nucleotides) under uncultured bacterium. RNAcentral's name for it is "partial 16S ribosomal RNA". It matches the Rfam family "Bacterial small subunit ribosomal RNA", at positions 28 to 507 of the family's 1533-position model. The record is from RNAcentral.